UACGUAGGCAGCGAGCGUUGUUCGGAAUUACUGGGCGUAAAGAGUGUGUAGGCGGCGCUCUAAGUUCGGUGUGAAAUCUCCUGGCUCAACUGGGAGGGUGCGCCGGAAACUGGAGUGCUUGAGCGUGGGAGAGGAAAGCGGAAUUCCUGGUGUAGCGGUGAAAUGCGUAGAUAUCAGGAGGAACACCUGUGGUGUAGACAGCUUACUGGACCAUUUCUGACGCUGAGACACGAAAGCGUGGGUAGCAAACAGG
This 253-nucleotide ribosomal RNA is filed under the name uncultured bacterium. RNAcentral's name for it is "partial 16S ribosomal RNA". It matches the Rfam family "Bacterial small subunit ribosomal RNA", at positions 524 to 776 of the family's 1533-position model. The record is from RNAcentral.